AGAGUUUGAUCCUGGCUCAGGAUGAACGCUAGCUACAGGCUUAACACAUGCAAGUCGAGGGGCAGCAUGGUCUUAGCUUGCUAAGGCCGAUGGCGACCGGCGCACGGGUGAGUAACACGUAUCCAACCUGCCGUCUACUCUUGGACAGCCUUCUGAAAGGAAGAUUAAUACAAGAUGGCAUCAUGAGUCCGCAUGUUCACAUGAUUAAAGGUAUUCCGGUAGACGAUGGGGAUGCGUUCCAUUAGAUAGUAGGCGGGGUAACGGCCCACCUAGUCUUCGAUGGAUAGGGGUUCUGAGAGGAAGGUCCCCCACAUUGGAACUGAGACACGGUCCAAACUCCUACGGGAGGCAGCAGUGAGGAAUAUUGGUCAAUGGGCGAGAGCCUGAACCAGCCAAGUAGCGUGAAGGAUGACUGCCCUAUGGGUUGUAAACUUCUUUUAUAAAGGAAUAAAGUCGGGUAUGGAUACCCGUUUGCAUGUACUUUAUGAAUAAGGAUCGGCUAACUCCGUGCCAGCAGCCGCGGUAAUACGGAGGAUCCGAGCGUUAUCCGGAUUUAUUGGGUUUAAAGGGAGCGUAGAUGGAUGUUUAAGUCAGUUGUGAAAGUUUGCGGCUCAACCGUAAAAUUGCAGUUGAUACUGGAUAUCUUGAGUGCAGUUGAGGCAGGCGGAAUUCGUGGUGUAGCGGUGAAAUGCUUAGAUAUCACGAAGAACUCCGAUUGCGAAGGCAGCCUGCUAAGCUGCAACUGACAUUGAGGCUCGAAAGUGUGGGUAUCAAACAGGAUUAGAUACCCUGGUAGUCCACACGGUAAACGAUGAAUACUCGCUGUUUGCGAUAUACGGCAAGCGGCCAAGCGAAAGCGUUAAGUAUUCCACCUGGGGAGUACGCCGGCAACGGUGAAACUCAAAGGAAUUGACGGGGGCCCGCACAAGCGGAGGAACAUGUGGUUUAAUUCGAUGAUACGCGAGGAACCUUACCCGGGCUUAAAUUGCAGAUGAAUUACGGUGAAAGCCGUAAGCCGCAAGGCAUCUGUGAAGGUGCUGCAUGGUUGUCGUCAGCUCGUGCCGUGAGGUGUCGGCUUAAGUGCCAUAACGAGCGCAACCCUUGUUGUCAGUUACUAACAGGUCAUGCUGAGGACUCUGACAAGACUGCCAUCGUAAGAUGUGAGGAAGGUGGGGAUGACGUCAAAUCAGCACGGCCCUUACGUCCGGGGCUACACACGUGUUACAAUGGGGGGUACAGAGGGCCGCUACCACGCGAGUGGAUGCCAAUCCCCAAAACCUCUCUCAGUUCGGACUGGAGUCUGCAACCCGACUCCACGAAGCUGGAUUCGCUAGUAAUCGCGCAUCAGCCACGGCGCGGUGAAUACGUUCCCGGGCCUUGUACACACCGCCCGUCAAGCCAUGGGAGCCGGGGGUACCUGAAGUGCGUAACCGCGAGGAGCGCCCUAGGGUAAAACUGGUGACUGGGGCUAAGUCGUAACAAGGUAGCCGUACCGGAAGGUGCGGCUG
RNAcentral lists this ribosomal RNA (1508 nucleotides) under Phocaeicola vulgatus. RNAcentral's name for it is "bacterial SSU rRNA". It matches the Rfam family "Bacterial small subunit ribosomal RNA". RNAcentral also lists the same sequence under 2 other names. The record is from RNAcentral. Lineage: Bacteria; Pseudomonadati; Bacteroidota; Bacteroidia; Bacteroidales; Bacteroidaceae.